UUUCAUAUGGAUCGUGACCAUUUCUUUUGGAUCGUCGGACGACGGCUCGGGCGAUUCCUGAGGCUGAAGACAACAACGGCAAGAGGCACUCUGGCGACGCGAUUAGGGUUUCGCUGUGAACCCUAACAACAGUGGCAGCGACGCAUUUUAUUCUUGAAGAUUUGAUUUUUUCCAAUGUGCAGUCCAAGUUAAGUUUGUGAAAAUUUAGUCAUAAAAUUAAGCAUCAAUUUUGUU
RNAcentral lists this long non-coding RNA (234 nucleotides) under Helianthus annuus (common sunflower). RNAcentral's name for it is "hypothetical non coding rna". Lineage: Eukaryota; Viridiplantae; Streptophyta; Magnoliopsida; Asterales; Asteraceae. The record is from RNAcentral.